Molecule: ribosomal RNA, 253 nt
Filed under: uncultured bacterium
Lineage: Bacteria
Description: partial 16S ribosomal RNA
Rfam family: Bacterial small subunit ribosomal RNA
Source: RNAcentral
UACGUAGGGUCCGAGCGUUGUCCGGAAUUACUGGGCGUAAAGAGCUCGUUGGUGGUUUGUCGCGUUGUUCGUGAAAACUCACAGCUCAACUGUGGGCGUGCGGGCGAUACGGGCAGACUGGAGUACUGCAGGGGAGACUGGAAUUCCUGGUGUAGCGGUGGAAUGCGCAGAUAUCAGGAGGAACACCGGUGGCGAAGGCGGGUCUCUGGGCAGUAACUGACGCUGAGGAGCGAAAGCGUGGGGAGCGAACAGG